This 72-nucleotide transfer RNA is filed under the name Capra hircus (goat). It matches the Rfam family "tRNA". Rfam says of the family: Transfer RNA (tRNA) molecules are approximately 80 nucleotides in length. The record is from Rfam by way of RNAcentral. Lineage: Eukaryota; Metazoa; Chordata; Mammalia; Artiodactyla; Bovidae. RNAcentral also lists the same sequence under 1 other name.
UCCCUGGUGGCUUAGUGGUAAAGAAUCUGCCUGCCAAUGCAGGAGACAUGGGUUCGAUCCCUGAUCCGGGAG